Callithrix jacchus (white-tufted-ear marmoset) is the source of this 125-nucleotide non-coding RNA. Lineage: Eukaryota; Metazoa; Chordata; Mammalia; Primates; Cebidae. The record is from Rfam.
AUCUAUGACCAUGCCACCCUCAAUAUACCUAAUCUCAUCUGAUCUCAGAAUCUAAGCAAGGUUGGGCCUGGUUAGUACUUGGAUUGGAGACCAAAGUGUUGGGAUGAAGUCAGGAGCCACCGUGC